GGUGAAAUUCACUCCUGUGCACAGGAUCAACACAAGGCCUACUAAUCGCUGAACUCCCUGUCCACUAACACGGCUACCACUCUGAAACCUGUAAAUACAGAGGAGUUCCUGUAGUUGAUGCUGAUUGUGGUGCGAUCGCUGAGGAGAUGGGAGACAGAAGAGAAUCUCUGAGGUUAUUUUUUAUGCCACUCCAUUUCUUAAUCUGCAAGUGGUGCUGAAAAGCAUUGAAGCUGGCAUCUUCCUGCAGAGUACCUUAGAUCUUUCCCAGCAGCAAGCUGGUGGCCAGAUGCUAGCGUGGACUUAACCAGUUCCCAUGGCUGUACUAUGCUGUGUAUGGGUCUUGUACAGAAACACAGCAGAACCAAAGGUCUCAUACAACAUGAGCAGAAGCUCUAACAGCAACCGUGACCUCUAUGAACCUCUCGAGGAGAAAGACAGCCAGGAAAUUCUGCAGUGUAGCUGGAUGCAUGAUAAACAGGACUAGACUGAGGAAGUGCUUGUUAUGGACUAAUAAAAGAUUUAAGGCAGUUUUCUGAGGUCAAGGGCCUAGAAAAUGAGCCUAUCCUACUCAUGUAAGUGGACUCUUACCAGCAUUUUGUACAAGGUCUCAAGAAGUAACAAGAGCAUCCUAUCAACUCAGACCUAUGGGAUUUACCAACACUAGGCUCACCUUAUCUUUUUGUCUGUGAAGAAGGCAAAAGGAGCUAUGUUGAGUAUGGAUGUUUCAUAUAUUGUGUAUCUAUCAGUGGCUUGAAAAAUUAUUACAGGUACUGAAUGGGUAUAUACCAAGAGAUAUGUGAAGUGAUUGUACUGUAUGUGCUCAUGCUAGUAAUUACACUUUAAAAUGUUAAACCUUUAAUAAAAACACAAUGUAAUUAC
Long non-coding RNA from Malaclemys terrapin pileata, 879 nucleotides. RefSeq lists it as uncharacterized. Lineage: Eukaryota; Metazoa; Chordata; Testudines; Emydidae. The record is from RefSeq and is a predicted model, not a curated record. The transcript is spliced from 5 exons.